Molecule: ribosomal RNA, 406 nt
Filed under: uncultured bacterium
Lineage: Bacteria
Description: partial 16S ribosomal RNA
Rfam family: Bacterial small subunit ribosomal RNA
Source: RNAcentral
AUUGAACUCUGGCGGCAGGCCUAACACAUGCAAGUCGAGCGAGCGGCGGACGUGUGAGUCAUGUCUGGGAAACUGCCUGAUGGAGGGGGAUAACUACUGGAAACGGUCGCUAAUACCGCAUACCAUCGGAUGUGCCCAGAUGGGAUUAGCUUGUUGGUGGGGUAACGGCUCACCAAGGCGACGAUCCCUAGCUGGUCUGAGAGGAUGACCAGCCAAACUGGAACUGAGACACGGUCCAGACUCCUACGGGAGGCAGCAGUGGGGAAUAGUGCACAAUGGGCGCAAGCCUGAUGCAGCCAUGCCGCGUGUAUGAAGAAGGCCUUCGGGUUGUAAAGUACUUUCAGCGGGGAGGCGGUACCCGCAGAAGAAGCACCGGCUAACUCCGGGCCAGCAGCCGCGGUAAUAC